Molecule: ribosomal RNA, 1381 nt
Filed under: Salinicoccus sp. rsk2
Lineage: Bacteria; Bacillati; Bacillota; Bacilli; Caryophanales; Staphylococcaceae
Description: 16S ribosomal RNA
Rfam family: Bacterial small subunit ribosomal RNA
Source: RNAcentral
AGGAGCUUGCUCCUGUGACGCGAGUGGCGGACGGGUGAGUAACACGUAGGCAACCUGCCCAUCAGACCGGGAUAACCACGGGAAACCGUGGCUAAUACCGGAUAAUCCUUUUCCACACAGGUGGGAAAGUUGAAAGGCGGUCUUUUGGCUGUCACUGAUGGAUGGGCCUGCGGCGCAUUAGCUUGUUGGUGGGGUAACGGCCCACCAAGGCGACGAUGCGUAGCCGACCUGAGAGGGUGAUCGGCCACACUGGGACUGAGACACGGCCCAAACUCCUACGGGAGGCAGCAGUAGGGAAUCUUCCGCAAUGGACGAAAGUCUGACGGACCAACGCCGCGUGAGUGAAGAAGGGUUUCGGCUCGUAAAACUCUGUUGUCAGGGAAGAACGCCGACGGGAGUAACUGCCCGUCGGGUGACGGUACCUGACCAGAAAGCCACGGCUAACUACGUGCCAGCAGCCGCGGUAAUACGUAGGUGGCAAGCGUUAUCCGGAAUUAUUGGGCGUAAAGCGCGCGUAGGCGGUUCGUUAAGUUCUGAUGGAAAGCCCCAGGCUCACCGGGGAAGCGUCGAUGGGACACUGGCGGACUUGAGUGCAGAAGAGGAGAGUGGAAUUCCAUGUGUAGCGGUGAAAUGCGCAGAGAUAUGGAGGAACACCAGUGCCGAAGGCGACUCUCUGGUCUGCAACUGACGCUGAGGUGCGAAAGCGUGGGGAUCAAACAGGAUUAGAUACCGUACAAGUCCACUCCGUAAACGAUGAGUGGUUAGUUUUAGAGUGUUUCAUCUCCUUAGUGCUGCAGCUAAAGCAUUAAGCAUUCCGCCUGGGGAGUUCGGCCGCUAGGUUGAAACUCAAAGCAAUCGACGGGGACCCGCACAAGCGGUGGAGCAUGUGGUUUAAUUNGAAGCAACGUGAAGAACCUUCCCAAAUCGGCACAUCCUCUGCCCACCCUGGAGACAGGGUUUCCCUUCGGGGCAGAGUGACAGGGGGUGCAUGGUUGUCGUCAGCUCGUGUCGGGAGAUGUUGGGUUAAGUCCUGCAACGAGCGCAACCCUUAUCAUUAGUUGCCAGCAUUCAGUUGGGCAUUCUAAUGAGACUGCCGGGGACAAACCGGAGGAAGGUGGGGAUGACGUCAAAUCAUCAUCCCCCUUAUCAUUUGGGCUACACACGUGUCACAAUGGACAGGUUACAAAGGGCAGCUAACCCCCGAGGCCAAGCGAAUCCCAUAAAACUGUUCUCAGUUCGGAGUUGACUCUGCAACUCGACUCCAUGAACCUGGAAACGAUCGUAAUCGAGGAUCAGAACGCCACGGUGAAUACGUUUCCGGCUGUCGUACACACCGCCUGUCUCUCCACGAGAGUCGGUAACACCCAAACCCGUGGGCCCA